This is a long non-coding RNA of Microtus oregoni (creeping vole), 273 nucleotides long. RefSeq lists it as uncharacterized. Lineage: Eukaryota; Metazoa; Chordata; Mammalia; Rodentia; Cricetidae. The record is from RefSeq and is a predicted model, not a curated record. The transcript is spliced from 3 exons.
CUUUUGGAUGGUAGGAGAUCAAGUCCUGAGGAGGCAGGCUCUAGGCAGAGGAGACAGUAAGCACGGAGAGCAUCCUGGCCAUGUCUGAUGAGCAGCAAGGAGGCCUGCGUGGCUGGCAGAAGGUAAAUGCACUUGCUGUCACCCACAUAGUGGAAGGAGAGAAUUGACUUCCGUCAGUUUGUCCUCUGAGCUCCACAUUCAAGCAUGCCUUGCAGCAAGCAAGUAAACACAUUCUUGUCCACUUGAUAAACAGAGUCCGAAUUUCAUUCCAUC